Molecule: ribosomal RNA, 2928 nt
Filed under: Enterobacter sp. R4-368
Lineage: Bacteria; Pseudomonadati; Pseudomonadota; Gammaproteobacteria; Enterobacterales; Enterobacteriaceae
Description: bacterial LSU rRNA
Rfam family: Bacterial large subunit ribosomal RNA
Source: RNAcentral
GGGUUGUGAGGUUAAGCGACUAAGCGUACACGGUGGAUGCCCUGGCAGUCAGAGGCGAUGAAGGACGUGCUAAUCUGCGAAAAGCGCCGGUAAGGUGAUAUGAACCGUUAUAACCGGCGAUGUCCGAAUGGGGAAACCCAGUGUGACUCGUCACACUAUCAUUAACUGAAUCCAUAGGUUAAUGAGGCGAACCGGGGGAACUGAAACAUCUAAGUACCCCGAGGAAAAGAAAUCAACCGAGAUUCCCCCAGUAGCGGCGAGCGAACGGGGAGCAGCCCAGAGCCUGAAUCAGCUUGUGUGUUAGUGGAAGCGUCUGGAAAGUCGCGCGAUACAGGGUGACAGCCCCGUACACAAAAGCACACAGGCUGUGAGCUCGAUGAGUAGGGCGGGACACGUGGUAUCCUGUCUGAAUAUGGGGGGACCAUCCUCCAAGGCUAAAUACUCCUGACUGACCGAUAGUGAACCAGUACCGUGAGGGAAAGGCGAAAAGAACCCCGGCGAGGGGAGUGAAAAAGAACCUGAAACCGUGUACGUACAAGCAGUGGGAGCACCUUCGGGUGUGACUGCGUACCUUUUGUAUAAUGGGUCAGCGACUUAUAUUCUGUAGCAAGGUUAACCGCAUAGGGGAGCCGAAGGGAAACCGAGUCUUAACUGGGCGUUAAGUUGCAGGGUAUAGACCCGAAACCCGGUGAUCUAGCCAUGGGCAGGUUGAAGGUUGGGUAACACUAACUGGAGGACCGAACCGACUAAUGUUGAAAAAUUAGCGGAUGACUUGUGGCUGGGGGUGAAAGGCCAAUCAAACCGGGAGAUAGCUGGUUCUCCCCGAAAGCUAUUUAGGUAGCGCCUCGUGAAUUCAUCUCCGGGGGUAGAGCACUGUUUCGGCUAGGGGGCCAUCCCGGGCUUACCAACCCGAUGCAAACUACGAAUACCGGAGAAUGUUAUCACGGGAGACACACGGCGGGUGCUAACGUCCGUCGUGAAGAGGGAAACAACCCAGACCGCCAGCUAAGGUCCCAAAGUCAUGGUUAAGUGGGAAACGAUGUGGGAAGGCCCAGACAGCCAGGAUGUUGGCUUAGAAGCAGCCAUCAUUUAAAGAAAGCGUAAUAGCUCACUGGUCGAGUCGGCCUGCGCGGAAGAUGUAACGGGGCUAAACCAUGCACCGAAGCUGCGGCAGCGACGCUUAUGCGUUGUUGGGUAGGGGAGCGUUCUGUAAGCCUGCGAAGGUGUGCUGUGAGGCAUGCUGGAGGUAUCAGAAGUGCGAAUGCUGACAUAAGUAACGAUAAAGCGGGUGAAAAGCCCGCUCGCCGGAAGACCAAGGGUUCCUGUCCAACGUUAAUCGGGGCAGGGUGAGUCGACCCCUAAGGCGAGGCCGAAAGGCGUAGUCGAUGGGAAACAGGUUAAUAUUCCUGUACUUGGUGUUACUGCGAAGGGGGGACGGAGAAGGCUAUGUUAGCCGGGCGACGGUUGUCCCGGUUUAAGCGUGAAGGUGUGUGCUCCAGGCAAAUCCGGAGCACUUUAACACUGAGGCGUGAUGACGAGGCACUACGGUGCUGAAGUAACAAAUGCCCUGCUUCCAGGAAAAGCCUCUAAGCAUCAGGUAACACGAAAUCGUACCCCAAACCGACACAGGUGGUCAGGUAGAGAAUACCAAGGCGCUUGAGAGAACUCGGGUGAAGGAACUAGGCAAAAUGGUGCCGUAACUUCGGGAGAAGGCACGCUGAUACGUAGGUGAAGUCCCUUGCGGAUGGAGCUGAAAUCAGUCGAAGAUACCAGCUGGCUGCAACUGUUUAUUAAAAACACAGCACUGUGCAAACACGAAAGUGGACGUAUACGGUGUGACGCCUGCCCGGUGCCGGAAGGUUAAUUGAUGGGGUCAUCCGUAAGGAGAAGCUCUUGAUCGAAGCCCCGGUAAACGGCGGCCGUAACUAUAACGGUCCUAAGGUAGCGAAAUUCCUUGUCGGGUAAGUUCCGACCUGCACGAAUGGCGUAAUGAUGGCCAGGCUGUCUCCACCCGAGACUCAGUGAAAUUGAACUCGCUGUGAAGAUGCAGUGUACCCGCGGCAAGACGGAAAGACCCCGUGAACCUUUACUAUAGCUUGACACUGAACACUGGUCCUUGAUGUGUAGGAUAGGUGGGAGGCUUUGAAGCGUGGACGCCAGUCUGCGUGGAGCCGCCCUUGAAAUACCACCCUUUAAUGGCUGGUGUUCUAACGUGGACCCGUGAUCCGGGUUGCGGACAGUGUCUGGUGGGUAGUUUGACUGGGGCGGUCUCCUCCUAAAGCGUAACGGAGGAGCACGAAGGUCAGCUAAUCCUGGUCGGACAUCAGGAGGUUAGUGCAAUGGCAUAAGCUGGCUUGACUGCGAGCGUGACGGCGCGAGCAGGUGCGAAAGCAGGUCAUAGUGAUCCGGUGGUUCUGAAUGGAAGGGCCAUCGCUCAACGGAUAAAAGGUACUCCGGGGAUAACAGGCUGAUACCGCCCAAGAGUUCAUAUCGACGGCGGUGUUUGGCACCUCGAUGUCGGCUCAUCACAUCCUGGGGCUGAAGUAGGUCCCAAGGGUAUGGCUGUUCGCCAUUUAAAGUGGUACGCGAGCUGGGUUUAGAACGUCGUGAGACAGUUCGGUCCCUAUCUGCCGUGGGCGCUGGAGAAUUGAGGGGGGCUGCUCCUAGUACGAGAGGACCGGAGUGGACGCAUCACUGGUGUUCGGGUUGUCAUGCCAAUGGCACUGCCCGGUAGCUAAAUGCGGAAGAGAUAAGUGCUGAAAGCAUCUAAGCACGAAACUUGCCCCGAGAUGAGUUCUCCCUGAGACUUUAAGUCUCCUGAAGGAACGUUGAAGACGACGACGUUGAUAGGCCGGGUGUGUAAGCGCAGCGAUGCGUUGAGCUAACCGGUACUAAUGAACCGUGAGGCUUAACCUUACAACGCCGAAG